RNAcentral lists this ribosomal RNA (305 nucleotides) under uncultured bacterium. RNAcentral's name for it is "bacterial SSU rRNA". It matches the Rfam family "Bacterial small subunit ribosomal RNA", at positions 338 to 657 of the family's 1533-position model. The record is from RNAcentral.
CCUACGGGAGGCAGCAGUGGGGAAUAUUGGGCAAUGGGCGCAAGCCUGACCCAGCAACGCCGCGUGAAGGAAGAAGGCUUUCGGGUUGUAAACUUCUUUUGUCAGGGACGAAGCAAGUGACGGUACCUGACGAAUAAGCCACGGCUAACUACGUGCCAGCAGCCGCGGUAAUACGUAGGAUGCGAGCGUUAUCCGGAAUUACUGGGUGUAAAGGGAGCGCAGGCGGGACUGCAAGUUGGAUGUGAAAUACCGCAGCUUAACUGCGGAGCUGCAUCCAAAACUGUAGUUCUUGAGUGGAGUAGAGG